RNAcentral lists this ribosomal RNA (1168 nucleotides) under Curtobacterium sp. RNAcentral's name for it is "bacterial SSU rRNA". It matches the Rfam family "Bacterial small subunit ribosomal RNA", at positions 173 to 1356 of the family's 1533-position model. The record is from RNAcentral. Lineage: Bacteria; Bacillati; Actinomycetota; Actinomycetes; Micrococcales; Microbacteriaceae.
UGACUGCCGGCCGCAUGGUCUGGUGGUGGAAAGAUUUUUUGGUUGGGGAUGGACUCGCGGCCUAUCAGCUUGUUGGUGAGGUAAUGGCUCACCAAGGCGACGACGGGUAGCCGGCCUGAGAGGGUGACCGGCCACACUGGGACUGAGACACGGCCCAGACUCCUACGGGAGGCAGCAGUGGGGAAUAUUGCACAAUGGGCGAAAGCCUGAUGCAGCAACGCCGCGUGAGGGAUGACGGCCUUCGGGUUGUAAACCUCUUUUAGUAGGGAAGAAGCGAAAGUGACGGUACCUGCAGAAAAAGCACCGGCUAACUACGUGCCAGCAGCCGCGGUAAUACGUAGGGUGCAAGCGUUGUCCGGAAUUAUUGGGCGUAAAGAGCUCGUAGGCGGUUUGUCGCGUCUGCUGUGAAAUCCCGAGGCUCAACCUCGGGCUUGCAGUGGGUACGGGCAGACUAGAGUGCGGUAGGGGAGAUUGGAAUUCCUGGUGUAGCGGUGGAAUGCGCAGAUAUCAGGAGGAACACCGAUGGCGAAGGCAGAUCUCUGGGCCGUAACUGACGCUGAGGAGCGAAAGCGUGGGGAGCGAACAGGAUUAGAUACCCUGGUAGUCCACGCCGUAAACGUUGGGCGCUAGAUGUAGGGACCUUUCCACGGUUUCUGUGUCGUAGCUAACGCAUUAAGCGCCCCGCCUGGGGAGUACGGCCGCAAGGCUAAAACUCAAAGGAAUUGACGGGGGCCCGCACAAGCGGCGGAGCAUGCGGAUUAAUUCGAUGCAACGCGAAGAACCUUACCAAGGCUUGACAUACACCGGAAACGGCCAGAGAUGGUCGCCCCCUUGUGGUCGGUGUACAGGUGGUGCAUGGUUGUCGUCAGCUCGUGUCGUGAGAUGUUGGGUUAAGUCCCGCAACGAGCGCAACCCUCGUUCUAUGUUGCCAGCGCGUUAUGGCGGGGACUCAUAGGAGACUGCCGGGGUCAACUCGGAGGAAGGUGGGGAUGACGUCAAAUCAUCAUGCCCCUUAUGUCUUGGGCUUCACGCAUGCUACAAUGGCCGGUACAAAGGGCUGCGAUACCGUAAGGUGGAGCGAAUCCCAAAAAGCCGGUCUCAGUUCGGAUUGAGGUCUGCAACUCGACCUCAUGAAGUCGGAGUCGCUAGUAAUCGCAGAUCAGCAACG